RNAcentral lists this Y RNA (101 nucleotides) under Pongo abelii (Sumatran orangutan). RNAcentral describes it as "Y RNA (ENSPPYG00000035216.1)". It matches the Rfam family "Y RNA". Rfam says of the family: Y RNAs are components of the Ro ribonucleoprotein particle (Ro RNP), in association with Ro60 and La proteins. The Y RNAs and Ro60 and La proteins are well conserved, but the function of the Ro RNP is not known. Lineage: Eukaryota; Metazoa; Chordata; Mammalia; Primates; Hominidae. The record is from Rfam by way of RNAcentral.
GGCUGGUUUCAGUGCAGUGGUGUUUACAACUAAUUGAUCACAACCACUAUAGAUUUCUUUAUUCCUUUUCCACUCCCACUGGUUCACUUAGCUAGCCUUUC